CAGCCGCCGCGGGAAUACGUAGGUGGCAAGCGUUGUCCGGAAUUAUUGGGCGUAAAGGGCUCGCAGGCGGUUUCUUAAGUCUGAUGUGAAAGCCCCCGGCUCAACCGGGGAGGGUCAUUGGAAACUGGGAAACUUGAGUGCAGAAGAGGAGAGUGGAAUUCCACGUGUAGCGGUGAAAUGCGUAGAGAUGUGGAGGAACACCAGUGGCGUAGGCGACUCUCUGGUCUGUAACUGACGCUGAGGAGCGAAAGCGUGGGGAGCGAACAGGAUUAGAGACCCCAGUAGUCCCUGUCUCUUAUAC
Molecule: ribosomal RNA, 301 nt
Filed under: uncultured bacterium
Lineage: Bacteria
Description: partial 16S ribosomal RNA
Rfam family: Bacterial small subunit ribosomal RNA
Source: RNAcentral